GUAAGUUCCGACCCGCAUGAAAGGCGUAAUGAGAGCUAUACUGUCUCAACUAGUGACCCGGUGAAAUUGUAGUCGUGGUGAAGAUGCCACGUACCCGCACCAAGACGGAAAGACCCCGUGAACCUUUACUGUAGGCAGAUACUGGGCUGUGGUAAAUUUUGUGUAGGAUAGCUGGGAGGCGAUGAAGUGAGUACGCUAGUAUUCAUGGAGCCGACGUUGAAAUACCAGCCUGAGUUUACUUUAGUUCUAACGCCGAUUCCCGUGAGCCGGGCGGCGGACAAUUUCUGUUGGGCAGUUUGACUGGGGCGGUCUCCUCCCAAAGAGUAACGGAGGAGUGCAAAGGUACACUCAGCCUGUUUGGCAAUCAGGCGUCGAGCGCAAUGGUAGAAAGUGUGCUUAACUGCGAGAGCGAUCACUCGAGCAGAUACGAAAGUAGGUCAUAGUGAUCCGGUGGUUCUGAAUGGAAAGGCCAUCGCUCAUCAGAUAAAAGGUACUCCGGGGAUAACAGGCUUAUCGCUUCCGAGCGUCCAUAGCGGCGAAGCGGUUUGGCACCUCGAUGUCGGCUCAUCACAUCCUGGGGGUGGAGAAGCUCCCAAGGGUUUGGCUGUUCGCCAAAGAAAGUGGUACGAGAGCUGGGUUCAGACCGUCGUGAGACAGGUCGGUCCCUAUCUGGUGUGGGCGUACGAAACUUGACGGGAAUUAACCUUAGUACGAGAGGACUUGGUUGGACGCAGCUCUGGCGUUCCAGUUGUCGCGCUAGCGGCACGGCUGGGUAACUAACUGCGGAAUGGAUAAACGCUGAAAGCAUAUAAGCGUGAAGCUGGCCCGAAGAUAAGGUUUCGUUUGAGUCCCCUGAAAGACGAUCAGGUUGAUAGGGCGGAUGUGUAAGUGCAGUAAUGUAUUUAGCUGACCGCUACUAAUGGACGAUCACUUAAUCGC
RNAcentral lists this ribosomal RNA (939 nucleotides) under Thermoguttaceae bacterium. RNAcentral describes it as "partial 23S ribosomal RNA". It matches the Rfam family "Bacterial large subunit ribosomal RNA", at positions 1976 to 2925 of the family's 2925-position model. The record is from RNAcentral. Lineage: Bacteria; Pseudomonadati; Planctomycetota; Planctomycetia; Pirellulales; Thermoguttaceae.